This 771-nucleotide small RNA is filed under the name Pongo abelii (Sumatran orangutan). Its description in RNAcentral is "retained intron". The record is from RNAcentral. Lineage: Eukaryota; Metazoa; Chordata; Mammalia; Primates; Hominidae.
CUGUCCCCAGCGGCCUCAGGCUAUGGGACCCAGAACAUUCGACUGAGCCGGGAUGCCGUGAAGGACUUCGACUGCUGUUGUCUCUCCCUGCAGCCUUGCCACGAUCCUGUUGUCACCCCAGAUGGCUACCUGUAUGAGCGUGAGGCCAUCCUGGAGUACAUUCUGCACCAGAAGAAGGAGAUUGCCCGGCAAAUGAAGUUUCAUCAUGUGUAAAACGGGCUGACGGCCAAAUCAGAGGACACAGCAGGGCACCUGGGAGGUACACGCAGAUGAGCAUUCUCAAGGCGUGUUACUGGGAACCCGGCCUGGCCUUCCACGGACAAAGCCAUUUGAUGGGCCUACGAGAAGCAGCGGGGCACCAGGCGCGAGGAGCAGAAGGAGCUUCAGCGGGCGGCCUCGCAGGACCAUGUGCGGGGAUUCCUGGAGAAGGAGUCGGCCAUCGUGAGCCGGCCCCUCAACCCUUUCACAGCCAAGGCCCUCUCGGGCACCAGCCCAGGUGACUCAGAUGAUGUCCAACCUGGGCCCAGUGUGGGUCCUCCAAGUAAGGACAAGGACAAAGUGCUGCCCAGCUUCUGGAUCCCGUCGCUGACACCCGAAGCCAAGGCCACCAAGCUGGAGAAGCCGACAGCUCCGUGGACCGCGUGGGGCUCAUCACGCGCAGCGAGCGCUACGUGUGCGCCGUGACCCGCGACAGCCUGAGCAACGCCACCCCCUGCGCUGUGCUGCGGCCCUCUGGGGCAGUGGUCACCCUCGAAUGCGUGGAGAAGCUGA